Molecule: ribosomal RNA, 1736 nt
Filed under: Limnognathia maerski
Lineage: Eukaryota; Metazoa; Micrognathozoa; Limnognathida; Limnognathidae
Description: SSU rRNA
Rfam family: Eukaryotic small subunit ribosomal RNA
Source: RNAcentral
AUGCAUGUCUCAGUACAGACUCUCGAAAAGUGAAACCGCGAAUGGCUCAUUAAAUCAGUUAUGGUUCCUUAGAUCAUUCUCUUCCUCCAUGGAUAACUGUGGUAAUUCUAGAGCUAAUACAUGCAACAAGCUCGUAUCUUGCCAGAUACGAGCGCUUUUAUUAGACCAAAACCAAUGCGUGCGGUUUCGGCCGUGCGCUCCUGGUGGUGACUCUGGAUAACUUUGUGCAGAUCGCAUGGCCUCGAGCCGGCGACGUAUCUUUCAAAUGUCUGCCCUAUCAACUUUCGAUGGUAGGUGACGUGCCUACCAUGGUUGUAACGGGUAACGGAGAAUCAGGGUUCGAUUCCGGAGAGGGAGCAUGAGAAAUGGCUACCACAUCCAAGGAAGGCAGCAGGCGCGCAAAUUACCCACUCCCGGCACGGGGAGGUAGUGACGAAAAAUAACAAUGCCGGACUCUAUUGAGGCCCGGUAAUUGGAAUGAGAACACUUUAAAUCGUUUAGCGAGUAACGAUUGGAGGGCAAGUCUGGUGCCAGCAGCCGCGGUAAUUCCAGCUCCAAUAGCGUAUAUUAAAGUUGUUGCAGUUAAAAAGCUCGUAGUUGGAUAUGGGGCUUUCGGCUGGUGGUCCGCUCUUUGGGCGGUUACUGCCUGUCCGAGUCCACUUUGUCGGUUUCGCUGAGGAUGCCCUUAAGUGGGUGUCCCCAGUAGCCGGCACGUUUACUUUGAAAAAAUUAGAGUGCUUGAAGCAGGCGCUUGCCUGAAUAAUGCUGCAUGGAAUAAUGGAAUAGGAUCUCGGUUCUAUUUUGUUGGUUUUCGGUUCCGAGGUAAUGAUUAAGAGGGACAGACGGGGGCAUUCGUACUGCGGCGCUAGAGGUGAAAUUCUUGGACCGCCGCAAGACGAACGAGUGCGAAAGCAUUUGCCAAGAAUGUUUUCAUUAAUCAAGAACGAAAGUGUGAGGAGCCAAGGGGAUUAGAGACCCCCGCAGUUCACACUAUAAACGAUGCCAACUAGCGAUCGGCCGCAGUUCGUUAAAUGACUCGGUCGGCAGCUUCCGGGAAACCGCAAGUUUUUGGGUUCCGGGGGAAGUAUGGUUGCAAAGCUGAAACUUAAAGGAAUUGACGGAAGGGCACCACCAGGAGUGGAGCCUGCGGCUUAAUUUGACUCAACACGGGAAAGCUCACCCGGCCCGGACACCGUAAGGAUUGACAGAUUGAGAGCUCUUUCUUGAUUCGGUGGAUGGUGGUGCAUGGCCGUUCUUAGUUGGUGGAGCGAUUUGUCUGGUUAAUUCCGAUAACGAACGAGACUCUAGCCUACUAACUAGCUGCCGGAUCCUCAUUGUAGUCCGGCACUUGCUUCUUAGAGGGACAAGGGGCGAUUAGCCUCACGAAAUUGAGCAAUAACAGGUCUGUGAUGCCCUUAGAUGUUCGGGGCCGCACGCGCGCUACACUGAAAGACUCAGCGUGUCCUUUUCCUGCUCCGACAGGAGCGGGUAACCCGUUGAAACUCUUUCGUGCUUGGGAUCGGGGCUUGUAACUAUUCCCCGUGAACGAGGAAUUCCCAGUAAGCGCGAGUCAUAAGCUCGCGUUGAUUACGUCCCUGCCCUUUGUACACACCGCCCGUCGCUACUACCGAUUGAAUGGUUUAGUGAGACCUUCGGAUUGGGGCCAGAGUGGCUGCAAGGUCGCCCUGGAUUCUGAAAAGUUGGUCAAACUUGAUCAUUUAGAGGAAGUAAAAGUC